This 301-nucleotide ribosomal RNA is filed under the name uncultured bacterium. RNAcentral's name for it is "partial 16S ribosomal RNA". It matches the Rfam family "Bacterial small subunit ribosomal RNA", at positions 509 to 807 of the family's 1533-position model. The record is from RNAcentral.
CAGUAGCCGCGGGAAUACGUAGGUGGCAAGCGUUGUCCGGAAUUAUUGGGCGUAAAGGGCUCGCAGGCGGUUUCUUAAGUCUGAUGUGAAAGCCCCCGGCUCAACCGGGGAGGGUCAUUGGAAACUGGGAAACUUGAGUGCGGAAGAGGAGAGUGUAAUUCCACAUGUAGCGGUGAAAUGCGUAGAGAUGUGGAGGAACACCAGUGGCGAAGGCGACUCUCUGGUCUGUAACUGACGCUGAGGAGCGAAAGCGUGGGGAGCGAACAGGAUUAGAGACCCGCGUAGUCCCUGUCUCUUAUAC